AAAUAACUGAUGCAAGCCCCUCCAGUGCUGCUCCAGUUGGAGUAUGAUGCAACACUUGGCCUUUGGGCUCUGAAGACGAUGUUUCAUCUGUUUCUGCUCCUGUGAGGGAUGGGCUGACAUUGCAGAUGGUGUCAGAUGGACACCCUCUUGUAGCCAUGCAGACAGUCCCAGGUCAGCAUCUGAAGCAGUUCCUGGAUGAAGUGGGACCUAUUCCUGGAAACACCUUGUCUGGUGUAAAACUCAACAGGAAAUAAGUGGAUGAUGAUGACUUCCACAAAGUGAAAGAUAAACUAAUCAAUGGCUUCUGUGACGACCUCACCACGCGGUUUGGCAACCUUGAUUAGGGUGUCUUGAAGGCCGCUGCCACCAUAUUUGACCUAGGCAACUGGCCUGAAGACAUCACUGACCUGGCCGAUGUUGAGACUUUUGUCAGUCACUUUCAGAAAACUGAUGGGUUACAGGGAGCUUUGUGGAACACUGUAUUCACGAACAGUCAAUCUAAGUAACAAAACUUUUGAAAAAGCCAAAUGAACUCAGAUCUGUCAUUUUUGUAGAACUCAAUUAUUUUCAACUAUUUUUUCAACUAUUUUAAUGCAACCACAAUAGUGGUUGCAUUAAAAAUCAAUAUGAAAAGGAAAUAUGUCCUUAUGUUGUGUUUUCACCACCAUUGGUAGGUUGAAUUCUCAUCACGAGUGAA
Long non-coding RNA from Epinephelus moara (kelp grouper), 697 nucleotides. RefSeq lists it as uncharacterized. NCBI's taxonomy places the organism in Eukaryota, Metazoa, Chordata, Actinopteri, Perciformes, Serranidae. The record is from RefSeq and is a predicted model, not a curated record. The transcript is spliced from 3 exons.